Molecule: ribosomal RNA, 497 nt
Filed under: uncultured bacterium
Lineage: Bacteria
Description: partial 16S ribosomal RNA
Rfam family: Bacterial small subunit ribosomal RNA
Source: RNAcentral
GAUGAACGCUGGCGGCGUGCCUAAUACAUGCAAGUCGAGCGAACAGACGAGGAGCUUGCUCCUCUGACGUUAGCGGCGGACGGGUGAGUAACACGUGGAUAACCUACCUAUAAGACUGGGAUAACUUCGGGAAGCCGGAGCUAAUACCGGAUAAUAUAUUGAACCGCAUGGUUCAAUAGUGAAAGACGGUUUUGCUGUCACUUAUAGAUGGAUCCGCGCCGCAUUAGCUAGUUGGUAAGGUAACAGCUUACCAAGGCAACGAUGCGUAGCCGACCUGAGAGGGUGAUCGGCCACACUGGAACUGAGACACGGUCCAGACUCCUACGGGAGGCAGCAGUAGGGAAUCUUCCGCAAUGGGCGAAAGCCUGACGGAGCAACGCCGCGUGAGUGAUGAGGGUCUUCGGAUCGUAAAACUCUGUUAUUAGGGAAGAACAAAUGUGUAAGUAACUAUGCACGUCUUGACGGUACCUAAUCAGAAAGCCACGGCUAACUACGUG